AUUGAACGCUGGCGGCAGGCCUAACACAUGCAAGUCGAACGAGUGGCGGACGGGUGAGUAAUGUCUGGGAAACUGCCCGAUGGAGGGGGAUAACUACUGGAAACGGUAGCUAAUACCGCAUACCAUCGGAUGUUCCCAGAUGGGAGUAGCUAGUAGGUGGGGUAACGGCUCACCUAGGCGACGAUCCCUAGCUGGUCUGAGAGGAUGACCAGCCAAACUGGAACGGAGACACGGUCCAGACUCCUACGGGAGGCAGCAGUGGGGAAUAUGGCACAAUGGGCGCAAGCCGGAUGCAGCCAUGCCGCGUGUAUGAAGAAGGCCUUAGGGUUGUAAAGUACUUUCAGCGGGGAGGCGGUAACCGCAGAAGAAGCACCGGCUAACUCCGUGCCAGCAGCCGCGGUAAUUC
RNAcentral lists this ribosomal RNA (406 nucleotides) under uncultured bacterium. Its description in RNAcentral is "partial 16S ribosomal RNA". It matches the Rfam family "Bacterial small subunit ribosomal RNA", at positions 29 to 526 of the family's 1533-position model. The record is from RNAcentral.